Molecule: non-coding RNA, 82 nt
Organism: Canis lupus familiaris (dog)
Lineage: Eukaryota; Metazoa; Chordata; Mammalia; Carnivora; Canidae
Source: Rfam
GCCUGGAUGGCUCAGCGGUUGAGCGUCUGCCUUUGACUCAGGUCAUGAUCCCAGGGUUUGGGAUCGAGUCCCACGUCAGGCU